GUUUCUCGCCAGUCAAGAUGGAGGACAGUGGAGUGGACACUUCGUGUCCACAGACUCAGACUCAGACUACACACAUUUCGUGUUUAUACCCAGAAAUCUUGGCGCUUAUAUUCAGUUACUUGGAUGUUAAGGACAGGGGGCGUGUGGCCCAAGUGUGUGCUAACUGGCGGGACGCUGCCUAUCAUAAGAGCGUGUGGAGAGGAGUAGAGGCAAAGCUCCACCUGCGCAGGGCCAACCCGUCUUUGUUCGAGUCGCUGGGGUGUCGAGGGAUUCGCCGUGUGCAGGUGCUCUCGCUACGGCGGGUGCUGAGAGACGUGAUCAGCGGGGUGCCUAAUAUUACCUCCCUUAACCUCUCCGGCUGCUACAACGUCUCCGACAUCAGCAUCACUCAUGCCUUCGCCAACGAGUGUCCCUCGCUCACCCACCUCAACCUCUCGCUCUGCAAGCAGGUCUCAGAUUCUGCGCUGGGAAAAAUCGCUCAGCAGCUGAGAAACUUGGAGGUGCUCGAGUUGGGAGGGUGUUCCUACAUUACCAACACUGGCUUGCUGCUGGUGGCGUGGGGACUGAAAAAACUGCGAGAGCUGAACCUGAGGUCAUGCUGUCUAGUGAGCAACCAAGGUAUUGCUUACCUGGCGGGCCAGCACAAGGAGGCUGCAGACGGCACGAGGGCGCUGGAAUACCUCGGCCUCCAGGACUGCCAGAAGCUGUCGGACGAGGCCCUCAGGCAUGUCGCCAAUGGGCUUCCAAACCUCAAAAGUAUAAACCUGUCGUUCUGUGCCAGCAUCACAGACUCGGGCCUCAAGUACCUGGCCCGGAUGCCCAGUCUGCGAGAGCUGAAUCUGAGGUCGUGCGACAACAUCUCGGACAUCGGCAUUGCUUACCUGGCUGAGGGAGGCUCGUGCAUUACCACGCUGGACGUCUCCUUCUGUGACAAAAUUGGGGAUCAGGCCCUGGUCCACAUAUCCCAGGGGCUGUUCACGCUGAGGUCGCUGUCGUGCUCGGCCUGCCAAAUCAGCGACGACGGCAUUCAACGCAUUGCCCGCACCCUGCAUGAGCUUGACACCCUCAACAUUGGGCAGUGUGUGCGCAUCACGGACAAGGGACUGCAGCUCAUUGCUGAGCACCUCACCAAUCUUUACUGCAUUGACCUCUACGGCUGCAAUCGCAUCACCACGGUGGGUCUCGAGAGGAUUAUGCAGCUGCCCCGCCUGUCCGUGCUGAACCUGGGGUUGUGGCACAAGCAAAAACGGUGACGCUUGUCACACUUAGGUCACCCUAACCAAUCCCCAACCCAGAUUCAGCAGGUGCUCAGCCCCACCGAACAUUCAAGGUAAAUUUUCCGGGCCGACGGCUCAGUCAAAACAGGUAACUGUGCUGUCACUGGUCCCUGGACGGAUCUCCUUGGCUGUGUGCUGUUCACGAGUUGCUUCUGCGGUGUCACUUAUCUAGGGCUGUGCUAUGUAAAGAACUCUUCGUGUAGAACUUGCUCAGGGUGUCAGGGAAAAGUAUUCCUAUAUGUAUACUGUUAGAGACCCAACCCAGUGUGUCGCUGUGCUGGUGUCUAUGAGCUGUACAUUUGGUCAGUGUUAGACUGUUCUGCCAGUGCCAUGAGUGCUGGCGGUCACCCUCCCGCCAGGGGCGUCAUGACGUGCCCUCCGUGCCAUGAGAGGUGCUUGUUCCCGCAGUACUCGCUACGACUUCCUGUUUUAAGGUCGUCUUAUUCUAUGGUAGUAACUACAACGAAUGGCAUCAGUCCAUUACGCCUCCACUGUUCAGUCCCUCGCAGGUCUUCUUCUUGUCUUAGUUACCCAGCAACAUUGGAGAGGGAUUAUGGUGCCAAUCAAUGCCAACUUUACAAAGUCUGGUGUUAGUUUUAGUGAACAAGUGUCAGCAGAAAUCUUUGAACGUUUGUAUAUAAGGUAGUGCCGUGAUAACCAAUGUGAUAUUGUGUCUGAGUGAUUCAGGUCUCGAGAGGGGCACUGCGCUGGCCUCGUGUGUGUGUGUGUGUGUGUGUGUGUGUGUGUGUGUGUGUGUGUGUGUGUGUGUGUGUGU
RNAcentral lists this unclassified non-coding RNA (2052 nucleotides) under Portunus trituberculatus (swimming crab). Its description in RNAcentral is "f-box/LRR-repeat protein 14-like, transcript variant X1". The record is from RNAcentral. Lineage: Eukaryota; Metazoa; Arthropoda; Malacostraca; Decapoda; Portunidae.